GUGCCAGCAGCCGCGGCGUGAACGUAGGGGCAAGCGUUGUCCGGAAUUACUGGGCGUAAAGGGCGUGUAGGCGGUGCGAUACGUAGCGGUUUUAAGCCUCCGGCUCACCCGGAGAGGGCGGCUAAACGGUCGCACUGGAGGGCAGGAGAGGUGCGUGGAAUUCCUGGUGGAGCGGUGAAAUGGGUAGAGAUCAGGAAGAACACCAGUGGCGAAGGCGGCGCACUGGCCUGACCCUGACGCUGAGGCGCGACAUGUGGGGAGCAAACGGGAUUAGAUACCCCGGUAGUCCACGCCGUAAACGAUGGAUACUAGGUGUCGUGGGGGUCCACCCUGCGGUGCCGGAGCUAACGCACUAAGUAUCCCGCCUGGGGAGUACGGCCGCAAGGUUGAAACUCAAAGGAAUUGACGGGGGCCCGCACAAGCAGUGGAGCAUGUGGUUUAAUUCGACGCAACGCGCAGAACCUUAGCAGGACUGGACAGGCACGUGAGCGCCGCGAAAGCGGCGGGGCUUCGGGGAGCGUGCUCAGGUGCUGCAUGGUUGUCGUCAGCUCGUGUCGUGAGAUGUUGGGUUAAGUCCCGCAACGAGCGCAACCCUUGUCGUGUGUUGCCAGCGGUUCGGCCGGGCACUCACACGAGACUGCCGGUGACAAACCGGAGGAAGGUGGGGAUGACGUCAAAUCCGCAUGGCCUUUAUGUCCUGGGCUACACACGUGCUACAAUGGUCCCGACAACGGGCCCGACGCGCGAGCGGGAGCGAAUCCUUCAAACGGGAUCUCAGUUCGGAUUGCAGGCUGCAACUCGCCUGCAUGAAGCCGGAAUUGCUAGUAAUCGCCCAUCAGCAUGGGGCGGUGAAUUCGUUCCCGGGCCUUGUACACACCUCCCGUCGCACCACGAGAGUUGGCCACACCCGAAGCCGGUCGGCCGA
RNAcentral lists this ribosomal RNA (925 nucleotides) under uncultured prokaryote. Its description in RNAcentral is "bacterial SSU rRNA". It matches the Rfam family "Bacterial small subunit ribosomal RNA", at positions 505 to 1438 of the family's 1533-position model. The record is from RNAcentral.